Molecule: ribosomal RNA, 128 nt
Filed under: uncultured eukaryote
Lineage: Eukaryota
Description: partial small subunit ribosomal RNA
Rfam family: Eukaryotic small subunit ribosomal RNA
Source: RNAcentral
CCCUGCCAUUUGUACACACCGCCCGUCGUUGUUUCCGAUGAUGGUGCAAUACAGGUGAUCGGAUAGACGAGUGUUUCACUUGUCUAGAAGUUCACCGAUAUUUCUUCAAUAGAGGAAGCAAAAGUCGU